GUGAACGCACCUGAAACUUCAGUAAUGGGGGUCGUCGGUGAACUCGGUGAGCUGAGCAAGUAGAUGGGGAAGAAACCAAUGGAACAAUGGCCACCCCUGAUUACGGAGGUGACCCCCAAUUCCAAUGGAACAGUAGCUGUGGCGAACACUACUAGAUCUUAGAAGGAUAAAGAAUUAGGCAUGCAAGACCGAUUGGAGGGUAGUUUGGAGAAAUCCCCUGUUCUGGUGAAUGCACAAAGGAAGCUUGACUAUCUGCAGAUUCAGAUAAAAAAAGGUCGAAUCUUUUUGCUACAAAUUGUAUGUUUGCUAAAGGUAUGAACCUUAGCUAUAUGGCAUCAAUUAUGAAGAAUUGAGAAAAUGUCAUUGAACUCAACAAGCAGGAUGUUAAUCGCACAACAGAGGAAUAAAAAUAGGCCCCCAUUUUGUAUGCUGUAGGGAAGUCACCUACUAUAGCUACGAUUGAG
RNAcentral lists this long non-coding RNA (464 nucleotides) under Capsicum annuum. RNAcentral's name for it is "long non-coding RNA (CANN_LNC013723)". Lineage: Eukaryota; Viridiplantae; Streptophyta; Magnoliopsida; Solanales; Solanaceae. The record is from RNAcentral.